AGCAUUUUUGUCUUAAGGCUUGAUUUUUAAAUAGCAAAACAGAUAAUUGGAUGCAUCAGAUUUAUAUUUUUUUAAGUAAAUCAUAUAUUUUGUUUCGUUUCUGACCAGUUUUUUACAGGUCAGUCACUGAACGCAUGGUAAAUUUCGUGCGUUUCCAUUGUCAUCUCUUGUUAGAUUAACUGAAUGACAAAUAAUGAUGCGAGACAUUAAUCGACUUCGAAACUUUUUUUUAAACAUGCAUUAAAAAGAUUAUUUUCCUGUAAGAUUUGUUCGAGCGUACUAAUGAAACUAAAACCGGAAGAGAUGAACAGUGGCGCCAGACUGAGUGUUUUCUUAAGUGAUGGUAAUUUUUAUAUCCAAAUGCUGUUAUGGGAGAAAGAGAAAAUUGGUGUCAUAAUUCAAGUAGUUACUUUAUAUUUUGGUUAUUGGUGUUAAGGCAGAAUGAAGGAAGAAACCACUUCCUUGUUGUAUGCCUAUUGUCUAGUCAGUGCCACACCUGCCUAGGGGAAUGGCCGAUAUGUCCGGUUUGGGUGUACUGUAUUAUCAUGCUCCGUAUGCAGAUCAAACAUCAUUCUAUGCAAAAUCACAUCUUUCAUCCGAGUUUUAACGGUCGGUGCAUUGGCAGGAUUAAAAAUUAAAAAAAAAAAAAAAACUAGAUAGUUAUCGCUUUACUGUAAAUAGAUUUAAAGAUUUUAAGAUUAUUAUCUGAGAGCUUACAAGAAAUUGUUGGUUGAUCCCAGUGAGCUUAGCAUCGAUUUCGGAAGUUAUCGAAGUGUGAACAAGAUACAAAGCAAAGAAUAGAAAAAACCUGUUCGGAGUUUGUUAGUUAGAUUUUUUUCUCUUUUCUUUCGGAGUCUCUCGGGGUGUUUCUCUCUUUCCGGAAGUGGUCGAACGGCAGCUCCAUCUAUCAACGACAUUCAAAGACAUCCCGAUGGGACGGUUUUGGCAUUCAGCCCGGAUCACGAGCCAGCCACUGCCCUCCCUUGGGAAAUAAAUGAAACAAAUGAGAAGUCAGUUAGGUUGUUCCGGGUUUCGUACUUACUGGCUCUACUUCUCCCCGCAGCGCUCAAUUGAUUGAAUGGAAAGGCUUUUGUAGAUCAGCUAGAACAAUGAAGCUAUUGAAAUCAUUUAAAGAUGUCAGUCAUAUUCACCUGUAAAGACCUUUGUCUUUUUUCCCUCAACUUCAAACUGACCUUUAGAUUGCGAAUGUUACAUAUUUAUAGAUGGUAAAACGCAUAAAUAGAUGCACUCAACGUCGUAAAAUAAUUCGGACAAAUAACGUGAGAAAAGUUAGCGCGUCCUUGCUCUGUUGAGUCCUUGCACUGUCGUACGUAUACCAUUAAACGGACAACACCCAAAACAUCACGAAGUGUUGCGGGAAUAACAUCAUUCCCACGAUUUUAAAAAAGUUUUCUCCAAUUCUCAUCUACACUCGAAUUUUUAAUAUGCUACAUAUUCAAAAAUGACCAAAAACUAACUUAAAACGAGCGAAAAGGCUGUAAAAGUUUUCUUUCUUUGUUUCACCCAAAGGAAGAACUUUUUUUCACUUUUAAAUAACGGACUCGCAUUAAUUCCGUCUGAAAAUGUUUUGUUGUAACCACCUGGCCUGGUGCAAUUGCCAAUUAUUCUCGAUCGCCCGCGGUCACCUUUAAACUUUGCAGGUGUUUUUCUAGAAAUGCUAAUUGAGAGAAAUGUGGUAUUUUUGUUGAAAAGCAUGCUAGAUAUUGGAAAGAUUCAACAACGAGCACUAAAUCGUGAUUUAUUAUUAUACAGUAUUCUUAUUAAAAAAAUAUCGCAUUGCGCCAUCUGUUAUUAAAAUUAAGUAGUAUAAUAUUCGUAUGUGAUCCUCCGGGAGAGAAUUGCAUUGGGAUGCUUUCAGUAUCUUGCGUGCCUAACUGAAAUUAACAGAUUCUAACACGAAUUCGUUUGUUACGUCAAGAUCUCUCGCCUCUCACUAUUCUUCUGUACGUGACGUCCUUAUUAAUUUCG
Molecule: long non-coding RNA, 1989 nt
Filed under: Androctonus crassicauda
Lineage: Eukaryota; Metazoa; Arthropoda; Arachnida; Scorpiones; Buthidae
Source: RNAcentral